Molecule: non-coding RNA, 141 nt
Organism: Gossypium raimondii (Peruvian cotton)
Lineage: Eukaryota; Viridiplantae; Streptophyta; Magnoliopsida; Malvales; Malvaceae
Source: Rfam
AUUUCUUUUAACAUAUCAGGAAGUUGAAUUGGCAGUGAAGAAAGAAAUAGGAAGUUGAAAGCCAUCAUUGCCUAUAACCAAAACCCAUACCAUGCUUCUUUCUUCACUGUCAAUUCGACUUCUUGAUAUGUUAAAAGAAAA